This is a long non-coding RNA of Mus musculus (house mouse), 521 nucleotides long. RefSeq annotates it as predicted gene, 16984. Lineage: Eukaryota; Metazoa; Chordata; Mammalia; Rodentia; Muridae. The transcript is spliced from 3 exons. The record is from RefSeq and is a predicted model, not a curated record.
GGCGUGGUCUGAGUUGGGCCCGAGAAGGUUUCAGGGAUGGGCACUUGGUUGAGGAAGCAGAAGCAUGGCGCAUGACUCUGGCCGCAGAGGACAAGGAGCUUUGGGCAGAGAAGGGCCUAUGGGUGCAGAGUUCAUCUGCUUGACAGGAGUGAACCGUUGAAACCCACGCUGGUGAUAAGGGAUUACGCAUCUGCCGCGCUCCGCUAACUAGCAAUUGGUGCUUGGACAAAGUGUCACCUUCGCCAAGGCACUGUCUCCCCAAGGAAGUCGCCUGCAAGCCUGAGUGCUUUGGUGACAUGAGGUCGCUGCUAGUCCCGUGUGUUUCCACCUGUGACAACGACUUUGGGAACCCUUGGUCAAGAAAAUGUACUUUGCCAGGAAUGGUGGCACAUGCCUUUAAUCCCAGCAUUCAGAAGGAAGAGGUAGGUGGAUCUCGAGUUCAGCUUGAUCUACAAAACUAAUUCCAAGACAGCCAGGGCCAUUUUGCAGAGUAACUCGGUCUUGAAAAACCAAUAUAUAUA